Molecule: long non-coding RNA, 1375 nt
Organism: Mesocricetus auratus (golden hamster)
Lineage: Eukaryota; Metazoa; Chordata; Mammalia; Rodentia; Cricetidae
Exons: 2
Source: RefSeq, a predicted model, not a curated record
GGACGGACGGGGCGCGCACCGGGGGGAAAGCGCAGCACAGAGCUCUGACCCGGGCGCGCGGGCUGGGCGUGAGCGUGAUGACUUGGCGGGAGCCAGUGGGGGAGCACUCGGGAGAGCGGAAGGUCGGGAGGGUCGCGUGAAGGUGCAAAGGUGUGCGUGCGUGUCCGCGCAGGCGUAGCCAGGGCGAGUGGGGCUCCCCAGAGGAUGCUGCACGGGAGACACGCGGAAGAUGCGCAGGAGAUGGCUCGGAGCGUGCGCGAGAGAUGCACGAGAGAUGCGUGGGAGAGGCGCGGAGAUGCACGGGGGAAUGCUUGGAAGCCGCACGGGAGAUGCUCUGCGUUUGUGCAGAAGAUGCUCAGGCGACCCACAGGGGGUGCGUGGGAGAUGCUCUGGAGAUGCGCUCGGAGGGCGAUGCUCCGAAGCGCGCGGAGAUGCGGGGUGCUGGCAUGCUCUGUGAGUGUGAGCUUUGGGGGAGAGGAGUGUGAUGUGGCAGCCGAGCAGAAAAGAGAGAGAGGCUUGGCAAGGGGUGGCUGGGCAGGUACAGACUUCUCUGGCAGGGCCUAGAAUGGGAGCAGCUCCCGCUGUCUGGUCCUCAUCAUGAAGCCUCAAGUUUCAGUCUUGGUUCCCUGGGAGGGGCCCCCAGAAGGCUAGCCAGACUGGAAGGAAGUCUUAAUCCUGGACCCUGGGGAGGGAGAGGCUCCCGGGCCAACCUUCCAGGUUGGCAACAGGCUUUUCCCCACUGCCUGCCCUGACUGUCUGUGGCCCUCUGCCCAACCUGGAGGCUUUCUCACCCCUCCAGACUUCGGUCCAUGCUCUCACUUGGGCGUGGGUUCCGCUGAGCCCGCUCUGUGGACACCAGAAGGCCCGAAGCAGGCUUAAAUGACCCAGAAGAGUGGGAAACUGCUAUGUGAGAGGCCUCUGCUUUCACAGGACUCAAGGACCACAGGAUACCAGUUGCUGCUUAAGUUGGCGCAAAGGGAAUUUAACUCUUGCAGCCAAAGAUCCUGGAAGACCAACUCGGGAGCCGGUGACACCGAGGCCUAGAACAGGCUGUGGAAUAGAGAAACGCGACCUUAGCCUUUAAUAUGUGCCCGAGGACACCAGAGGGCGACCAUUUCUAUCCUCUGAGCCCCACCACAAGGCAUCAUGGAAGAGGGAGCCUUCGCCUCAGUGUCUUUUGCAAGGCAUCAUGGGAGAGGGAGCCUUCGCCUCAGUGUCUUGCAAGGCAUCAUGGAAGAGGGAGCCUUCGCCUCAGUGUCUUUUGCAAGGCAUCAUGGUGACGUUAUCUUCCGUUUGAAACAGGAAGCAUCUGAUGCAACAUCAUCUUCGGCCCUCUCUGCUGCAGGGCAUCAUGGGAAAUACAGUCUUGGCUCAA